This 446-nucleotide ribosomal RNA is filed under the name uncultured bacterium. RNAcentral's name for it is "SSU rRNA". It matches the Rfam family "Bacterial small subunit ribosomal RNA", at positions 26 to 518 of the family's 1533-position model. The record is from RNAcentral.
AGAACGAACGCUGGCGGCAGGCCUCAAACAUGCAAGCCUAGGGGGUGUAGCAAUACAUCACCGGCGGACGGGUGCGUAACACGUGGGAAUAUACCUUUUGGUUCGGAACAACGCAGGGAAACUUGCGCUAAUACCGAAUGUGCCCUUACGGGGAAAGAUUUAUCGCCAAAGGAUUAGCCCGCGUAGGAUUAGCUAGUUGGUGAGGUAAUGGCUCACCAAGGCUCCGAUCCUUAGCUGUUCUGAGAGGAAGAUCAGCCACACUGGGACUGAGACACGGCCCAGACUCCUACGGGAGGCAGCAGUUGGGAAUCUUGGACAAUGGGGAAACCCUGAUCCAGCCAUGCCGCGUGAGUGAUGAAGGCCUUCGGGUUGUAAACUCUUUCGGACGGGGACAUAAUGACGGUACCCGUAGAAGAAGCUCCGGCUAACUUCGUGCCAGCAGCCGC